This 477-nucleotide ribosomal RNA is filed under the name uncultured bacterium. RNAcentral describes it as "partial 16S ribosomal RNA". It matches the Rfam family "Bacterial small subunit ribosomal RNA", at positions 28 to 523 of the family's 1533-position model. The record is from RNAcentral.
GACGAACGCUGGCGGCGUGCUUAACACAUGCAAGUCGAGCGAUGAAGCUCCUUCGGGAGUGGAUUAGCGGCGGACGGGUGAGUAACACGUGGGUAACCUGCCUCAUAGAGGGGAAUAGCCUUUCGAAAGGAAGAUUAAUACCGCAUAAGAUUGUAGUACCGCAUGGUACAGCAAUUAAAGGAGUAAUCCGCUAUGAGAUGGACCCGCGUCGCAUUAGCUAGUUGGUGAGGUAACGGCUCACCAAGGCGACGAUGCGUAGCCGACCUGAGAGGGUGAUCGGCCACAUUGGGACUGAGACACGGCCCAGACUCCUACGGGAGGCAGCAGUGGGGAAUAUUGCACAAUGGGGAAACCCUGAUGCAGCAACGCCGCGUGAGUGAUGACGGUCUUCGGAUUGUAAAGCUCUGUCUUUAGGGACGAUAAUGACGGUACCUAAGGAGGAAGCCACGGCUAACUACGUGCCAGCAGCCGCAGUAA